ACUUUUUUAUUAUAAUUAUUAUAUUUGAUUUCCAAUCAAAAGAUCUUGAAGAUAAAUCAAGAAAAAGUA
Molecule: transfer RNA, 69 nt
Filed under: Meschia woodwardi
Lineage: Eukaryota; Metazoa; Arthropoda; Insecta; Hemiptera; Meschiidae
Description: tRNA-Gly
Source: RNAcentral